This is a non-coding RNA of Caenorhabditis elegans, 107 nucleotides long. The record is from Ensembl. NCBI's taxonomy places the organism in Eukaryota, Metazoa, Nematoda, Chromadorea, Rhabditida, Rhabditidae.
CGGGAUACGUGCCGCCGCAAGAAGGUGUCAGAGAUAAUCAAUUUUUAAACACAUAAAACAUACAUUUGAAAGAAGAUGUACGGACUGGUACCAAGGCCAGUGGGUCA